GAUGAACGCUGGCGGCGUGCUUAACACAUGCAAGUCGAACGGAAAGGCCCAAGCUUGCUUGGGUACUCGAGUGGCGAACGGGUGAGUAACACGUGGGUGAUCUGCCCUGCACUUCGGGAUAAGCCUGGGAAACUGGGUCUAAUACCGGAUAGGACCACUUCUUGGAUGUUGUGGUGGAAAGUUUUUUCGGUGUGGGAUGAGCUCGCGGCCUAUCAGCUUGUUGGUGGGGUAAUGGCCUACCAAGGCGUCGACGGGUAGCCGGCCUGAGAGGGUGUACGGCCACAUUGGGACUGAGCUACGGCCCAAACUCCUACGGGAGGCAGCAGUGGGGAAUAUUGCACAAUGGGCGCAAGCCUGAUGCAGCGACGCCGCGUGGGGGAUGACGGCCUUCGGGUUGUAAACUCCUUUCGCUAGGGACGAAGCGUUUUGUGACGGUACCUGGAGAAGAAGCACCGGCUAACUACGUG
This 467-nucleotide ribosomal RNA is filed under the name uncultured bacterium. Its description in RNAcentral is "partial 16S ribosomal RNA". It matches the Rfam family "Bacterial small subunit ribosomal RNA", at positions 28 to 507 of the family's 1533-position model. The record is from RNAcentral.